UGUGCCAGCCGCCGCGGUAAUACGUAGGGUGCGAGCGUUGUCCGGAAUUACUGGGCGUAAAGGGCUCGUAGGUGGUUUGUCGCGUCGUCUGUGAAAUUCCGGGGCUUAACUCCGGGCGUGCAGGCGAUACGGGCAUAACUUGAGUACUGUAGGGGUAACUGGAAUUCCUGGUGUAGCGGUGAAAUGCGCAGAUAUCAGGAGGAACACCGAUGGCGAAGGCAGGUUACUGGGCAGUUACUGACGCUGAGGAGCGAAAGCAUGGAUAGCGAACAGGAUUAGAU
RNAcentral lists this ribosomal RNA (281 nucleotides) under uncultured Actinomycetales bacterium. RNAcentral's name for it is "partial 16S ribosomal RNA". It matches the Rfam family "Bacterial small subunit ribosomal RNA", at positions 504 to 783 of the family's 1533-position model. Lineage: Bacteria; Bacillati; Actinomycetota; Actinomycetes; Actinomycetales. The record is from RNAcentral.